Molecule: ribosomal RNA, 492 nt
Filed under: uncultured bacterium
Lineage: Bacteria
Description: partial 16S ribosomal RNA
Rfam family: Bacterial small subunit ribosomal RNA
Source: RNAcentral
AGUGAACGCUGGCGGUAGGCCUAACACAUGCAAGUCGAACGGCAGCACAGUAAGAGCUUGCUCUUACGGGUGGCGAGUGGCGGACGGGUGAGGAAUACAUCGGAAUCUACUUUUUCGUGGGGGAUAAUGUAGGGAAACUUACGCUAAUACCGCAUACGACCUACGGGUGAAAGCAGGGGAUCUUCGGCCCUUGCGCGAUUGAAUGAGCCGAUGUCGGAUUAGCUAGUUGGCGGGGUAAAGGCCCACCAAGGCGACGAUCCGUAGCUGGUCUGAGAGGAUGAUCAGCCACACUGGAACUGAGACACGGUCCAGACUCCUACGGGAGGCAGCAGUGGGGAAUAUUGGACAAUGGGCGCAAGCCUGAUCCAGCCAUACCGCGUGGGUGAAGAAGGCCUUCGGGUUGUAAAGCCCUUUUGUUGGGAAAGAAAAGCAGCAGGUUAAUACCCCGCUGUUCUGACGGUACCCAAAGAAUAAGCACCGGCUAACUUCGUG